This 497-nucleotide ribosomal RNA is filed under the name uncultured bacterium. RNAcentral describes it as "partial 16S ribosomal RNA". It matches the Rfam family "Bacterial small subunit ribosomal RNA", at positions 28 to 507 of the family's 1533-position model. The record is from RNAcentral.
GACGAACGCUGGCGGCGUGCCUAAUACAUGCAAGUUGAGCGCUGAAGGUUGGUACUUGUACCAACUGGAUGAGCAGCGAACGGGUGAGUAACGCGUGGGGAAUCUGCCUUUGAGCGGGGGACAACAUUUGGAAACGAAUGCUAAUACCGCAUAAAAACUUUAAACACAAGUUUUAAGUUUGAAAGAUGCAAUUGCAUCACUCAAAGAUGAUCCCGCGUUGUAUUAGCUAGUUGGUGAGGUAAAGGCUCACCAAGGCGAUGAUACAUAGCCGACCUGAGAGGGUGAUCGGCCAAAUUGGGACUGGGACACCGCCCAACCUCCUACGGGAGGCAGCAGUAGGGAAUCUUCGGCAAUGGACGAAAGUCUGACCGAGCAACGCCGCGUGAGUGCAGAAGGUUUUCGGAUCGGAAAACUCUGUUGGUAGAGAAGAACGUUGGUGAGAGUGGAAAGCUCAUCAAGUGACGGUAACUACACAGAAAGGGACGGCUAACUACGUG